UCGAACGGCAGCAUGAUCUAGCUUGCUAGAUUGAUGGCGAGUGGCGAACGGGUGAGUAAUACAUCGGAACGUGCCCUGUAGUGGGGGAUAACUAGUCGAAAGAUUAGCUAAUACCGCAUACGACCUGAGGGUGAAAGUGGGGGACCGCAAGGCCUCAUGCUAUAGGAGCGGCCGAUGUCUGAUUAGCUAGUUGGUGAGGUAAAGGCUCACCAAGGCGACGAUCAGUAGCUGGUCUGAGAGGACGAUCAGCCACACUGGGACUGAGACACAGCCCAGACUCCUACGGGAGGCAGCAGUGGGGAAUUUUGGACAAUGGGGGCAACCCUGAUCCAGCAAUGCCGCGUGUGUGAAGAAGGCCUUCGGGUUGUAAAGCACUUUUGUCCGGAAAGAAAUCGCACUUACUAAUAUUAGGUGUGGAUGACGGUACCGGAAGAAUAAGGACCGGCUAACUACGUGCCAGCAGCCGCGGUAAUACGUAGGGUCCAAGCGUUAAUCAGAAUUACUGGGCGUAAAGCGUGCGCAGGCGGUUGUGCAAGACCGAUGUGAAAUCCCCGGGCUUAACCUGGGAAUUGCAUUGGUGACUGCACGGCUAGAGUGUGUCAGAGGGGGGUAGAAUUCCACGUGUAGCAGUGAAAUGCGUAGAGAUGUGGAGGAAUACCGAUGGCGAACGCAGCCCCCUGGGAUAACACUGACGCUCAUGCACGAAAGCGNGGGGAGCAAACAGGAUUAGAUACCNUGGUAGUCCACGCCCUAAACGAUGUCAACUAGUUGUGGGGAUUCAUUCCUUUAGUAACGUAGCUAACGCGUGAAGUUGACCGCCUGGGGAGUACGGUCGCAAGAUUAAAACUCAAAGGAAUUGACGGGGACCCGCACAAGCGGUGGAUGAUGUGGAUUAAUUCGAUGCAACGCGAAAAACCUUACCUACCCUUGACAUGCCACUAACGAAGCAGAGAUGCAUUAGGUGCUCGAAAGAGAAAGUGGACACAGGUGCUGCAUGGCUGUCGUCAGCUCGUGUCAUGAGAUGUUGGGUUAAGUCCCGCAACGAGCGCAACCCUUGUCUCUAGUUGCUACGAAAGGGCACUCUAGAGAGACUGCCGGUGACAAACCGGAGGAAGGUGGGGAUGACGUCAAGUCCUCAUGGCCCUUAUGGGUAGGGCUUCACACGUCAUACAAUGGUGCAUACAGAGGGUUGCCAAGCCGCGAGGUGGAGCUAAUCCCAGAAAAUGCAUCGUAGUCCGGAUCGUAGUCUGCAACUCGACUACGUGAAGCUGGAAUCGCUAGUAAUCGCGGAUCAGCAUGCCGCGGUGAAUACGUUCCCGGGUCUUGUACACACCGCCCGUCACACCAUGGGAGUGGGUUUUGCCAGAAGUAGUUAGCCUAACCGCAAGGGGGGCGAUUACCACGGCAGGGUUCAUGACUGGGGUGAAGUCGUAACAAGGUA
This 1441-nucleotide ribosomal RNA is filed under the name uncultured Ralstonia sp. RNAcentral's name for it is "bacterial SSU rRNA". It matches the Rfam family "Bacterial small subunit ribosomal RNA". Lineage: Bacteria; Pseudomonadati; Pseudomonadota; Betaproteobacteria; Burkholderiales; Burkholderiaceae. The record is from RNAcentral.